CUACGGGAGGCAGCAGUGAGGAAUAUUGCACAAUGGGGGGAACCCUGAUGCAGCAACGCCGCGUGGAGGAUGACGCAUUUCGGUGUGUAAACUCCUUUUAUAUGUCAAGAAAAUGACGGUAGCAUAUGAAUAAGCACCGGCUAACUCCGUGCCAGCAGCCGCGGUAGUACGGAGGGUGCAAGCGUUACUCGGAAUCACUGGGCGUAAAGGACGCGUAGGCGGGUUGGAAAGUCAGGUGUGAAAUCCUACAGCUUAACUGUAGAACUGCACUUGAAACUUCGAAUCUAGAGUAUGGGAGGGGGAGAUGGAAUUAGUGGUGUAGGGGUAAAAUCCGUAGAUAUCACUAGGAAUACCUAAAGCGAAGGCGAUCUCCUGGAACAUUACUGACGCUAAGGCGUGAAAGCGUGGGGAGCAAACAGGAUUAGAUACCCGGGUAGUC
RNAcentral lists this ribosomal RNA (439 nucleotides) under uncultured bacterium. RNAcentral's name for it is "partial 16S ribosomal RNA". It matches the Rfam family "Bacterial small subunit ribosomal RNA", at positions 339 to 795 of the family's 1533-position model. The record is from RNAcentral.